Dermochelys coriacea (leatherback sea turtle) is the source of this 1792-nucleotide long non-coding RNA. RefSeq lists it as uncharacterized. The record is from RefSeq and is a predicted model, not a curated record. The transcript is spliced from 3 exons. NCBI's taxonomy places the organism in Eukaryota, Metazoa, Chordata, Testudines, Dermochelyidae.
UUAGCUGAAACUUGCUGCUCUCUUACAUUUAUAUGAACAAAACCUGUCAAUUCAGACACAGCACAUUCCUGAAUUGGGCCCACUGAGAGUACUCUGGCAGAGUGAACAAUCUGUAUAACUUGAAAUGUGUUUGACAAACUUGUGAGGGGGCCCCCAGGAUAUCUUCUUCAGGGGAAGAGUUUGGAAUGUACCAGAUUGCAGGUACCUGAUGUGGAAGAUGGGUGUUUCAUGUUCUCCCUCCACAAAGGCUGUCAGCAGUGGCUGUUGCCACCCCCGAAAGUCUUUUUCUAGGGAGACUAUCCACCCAAUGACUCUGAAGAAUGAGGAGCCAUUGUGUUCAAGGAAGGAGGACAAAAAAUCAGCUCUUGAGGACAGCAAACCAAGAAGGAUGGCCCACGGAAUCUGAGGGGAAGGAGUGAAUGAGAGAGACAGGUUCCCCUGGGACAUAGGGCAUCUUCCUCUAUGCUGUCCUAAUGGAUGACUUCUUGCUGCUUUCCCUUGGAGUUUUGACUUCUUCAUCCCCUUACUGUCACAUUUUACUGCCUCCAAGUGAUUGUGCAGUGAUUGCUCUGGGUUUGUUCUCUGUGAAUGAACUCUCCAGGUUUUAGUUGUGUACCCCCAACAAACGAAAUCCUGCAGUAUUCACCAAGCUAAACUUAGCAGGUCCCUUCUCUUCUUCUGCACAGUUCUACAUUCCAUCCUUCAGUCCAUCCAAAUUUUGUCCAAGCCCACCUGUCCUAUCUCUUCAACUCCCCUAACCUAAUCUUUGAAUUAAAUCUAUCUCCCAUAUAUCUCUGGCUUUGUUCCAGUGGCUACUGUUACCUCCUUAUAUUUUUUCUCAGACCCAUCCAUCAAUAGCCCCCUACCAAAUACACCUUGGCUGGUAUUCUGUCAUAUUCAUUGUGGUAUCUCAGGACAUGUGACAGUAAUAUCUGAGGGAGCUGCUGCCUUCAAAUAGCAACAUGUUCAAUCACAUUAAUUUGUGGCAGCAUCUCACAGUCCAUGGUUGCAUAUUCAGAAAUUACAUUUACUAGCUGACUGAAUGCAUGCAGGAAGGGGAAAUUAUAGCCUUCUGCUCCAAAAAUCUUAGGCCUCUUCCAGCUGAGCUACAAGAGAAUCUCCAUUAGAUAUGAGCUGUAUGAAGACUUCAGUUAGGAACAAAAUUUCCACAAGAUCUAAGACCAUGCAAAACAUUGUCUGAUUUCAGAUGUUAUUAAAAAUGUUAAUCUCAAAUUAGAUUAAUAGAAAGGGUCGCAAACUGUGCACAUCACAUUACCAGAAAGAUAAUGACAAAUUAGAAGGGAGUACAGAGAACAUCAGUCAUAAACAACAGCAGGCUGGAGAGAAUGGUUUGAAGAAAAAUUAAAAGAGCUAGUUAUAUACUGCCUGAUUAAAGGGUGACUAAGGAAAUAUAUUACACUCUGGGUACCUGAAGUACUUAGAGAGCAGAAUUAUUUGGUUCCCACUGUACAUCUAGAAGUAAAUAGCUGAAUUUAAGAAAGGGAAAAUGUAGGAUGAAUAUCAAGAAUUACUUCUGAACAGUGAAAGAGCUAUUAGAAUGUCUAAAGGGACAUGGUGGAAACCCAUAAUUUAGGACUAGAGCUUGAAAGGUUGAGGUUGAGAUUGAAAAUGGUUUAAGAUUUUAUACAAAAAAAUUUUCAGGAACAUGUCAUAUCUUUUCCCCCCUUCAAAAUGUGAUGUUUCAGCCACAUUACAUUGAAAUUUUGAAUUGUUUUGCUCUGUUUUAUGUGGGACUUUGAAAAUUAGACCAGAUAAAAAAUUAGAAACUGUA